RNAcentral lists this long non-coding RNA (1189 nucleotides) under Canis lupus familiaris (dog). RNAcentral describes it as "lncRNA (ENSCAFG00845000979.1)". Lineage: Eukaryota; Metazoa; Chordata; Mammalia; Carnivora; Canidae. The record is from RNAcentral.
GCCCUCCCCUUCUUCAACCAAAGUGGCUGAUCGAGAUGUUUUCCUAAACAAAACUGUUCUCCCCCUGCUAAAUGCAUUGAAACGUGCCAUCUGGUGUGUAUGCUGGCCUCCUGAGAAAUUGAGUAGUCCAAGCUCGCAGCUGAGACUCAGCUCUUCUCUCCACCAGCUGCCAGGCUGUGGCUCGACCCGGGGCCCCAGGAGGGGAUUUGUCAGAGUAAAGGCCGCUGUGGGCAGCCUCUCGGCAACCGGCCAACAGCCCCUGCUGGCAAUGUGCCACCCCUGUGAACAGCACAGAUCGAGCUUCAGAUGUGCAAGGCCUGAGGAGAAAACAAAAAAGGAUGAUGGCAAGGAGGCUUCUCACUGUCUGGAAUCACUGCCGCCAUCUUGGUUCUGACAGAGCAGAGAGAGAGAACCUGCAUCCAAGGCCAACAGCUCAGAUGAAAAGUGAGCAAAGUAAGUAAAGACAACAUUCACAGAAAGAGGAAAAACAAGUAGCCCUUAAGCAUAUGAGAAAAUGCUCAACUUCACUCAUCAUAAGAGCAAUGAAGACUGAAAUAACACCAUAAUACUACUUUUCACCUAUCAGAUUGGCAAAAAUCCAAAGGUUUGACAACAUAUUCUGUUGGUGAGGUUGUGGGGAAGUGGGGACUCUCAUGCAUGAAGGGCAAAAUGGCACAAUAUCCUGUAGUGGGGAAAGAGUAAAGAAAGGAACACAUGAACUGGAGUCUUUAUGUCCUCACCAAGAUGCCACAUCAGUCCAGCCUCCUGUGAGACUUAAGUUCCCCACUGAGUAAGCCAGUUUGAGUAGAGUUUUUGUUACCAAGAAUCCAAAAUAUCCCAAAUGAUGCCCUUGCCUCCCACCUGAAGCCCAGGAACAAACUUGUUCUGUCCAGAAUCCAGAUCAUUGAAUCUCACUGGGUCAUCCAAUGACUAGCCAAACCCAAGCAGGUACAAAUCCAAAAGCUGAGAUCAUUGCUGACAGAAGAAUCCCUCCCAGAGGAUGAGCUAUGAGCCCAUUCCAAAAUUAGUGGGUGGGUAACUGCCUAGGGUAAUAUUUAACCCAUGUGGUCAUGAGAGGGAGCUGUAUCUUGAAGGUGCUAUUGGAAUCCAAAUGUACAGAUGAUCCCAAGGAGUUAAAUCUUGAGGUGGUAAGAUGACUGCCCUUCGUCUUGCUUAGCCCAAUAUCCUG